UGCGGCUCAGAUCUGGCGUUGCUGUGGCUGUGGCUGUAGGCCAGUGGUUACAGCUCCGAUUCAAGCCCAAGCCUGGGAACCUCCAUAUGCGUGGGUGUGGCCCUAAAAAAAAAAAAAAAAAAAAAAAGAGUUUCAGAGAGCUUAAUCUGGCAUGGACUUAAUUUCUAAACUUAUAUCAGGCUCUCCACCACUCCUGUGCCUCUCUGGGUGGGGCCUCUCUUCCCACCAGCCCUGACAGUCUCCCUCUAGUGCCUGGGCCCUCUCCUGUCUAAGGGAUUGAACCCGAGCCUUAGCAGUGACAAAGCCAGAUUAUUAACCCUGGGCCACCAGGGAACUCCCGGGAAAUUUCUUAUAUAGGCUUGGCCUUUUGGAGUAACUCCAACCUUUAGCUUUCCUCAGCCCUGGGAAGGAGGAAGCUGGUGAAGAAGUUGAGGCCCAUUUCUCCAGACCUGUGGAGGUCACGUUCGUGAACAGGAUCAGAGCCACUCUGGCACUCAGUGGCUCAUCUCUAGAGAGAAGAAGCCAGGAGUUCCCGUCAUGGCGCAGCAGAAACAAUCCGACUAGGAACCAUGAGGUUGCGGGUUCGAUCCCUGGCCUCAUUCAGUGGGUUAAAGAUCCGGUGUUGCUGUGAGCUGUGGUGUAGGCCGGCAGCUGUAGCUCUGAUUUGACUCCUAGCCUGGAAACCUCCAUAUGCCAUGGGUGCAGCCGUAAAAAGAAAAAAAAAAAAAAGAGAGAGAGAGAGAGAAGCAGCCAAGCCUAGGAUAUAAGCUGGGCACAUGUGUCCCCACGUCCUUAUCUGUAGUACAGGUGUAAUGAGAGUCCCUCGUAGGGUGGUUGAGAUGAUUAUCGGCUCAUGUACAGUGCUUAAGUCAGUUACUGAUACACAAUAAGCCCCAAGUAUAUGUUAGUUUCCCUGCUGUCACUGUCCUUUUAUCUUGGUCUUGUACUAGGAUCAGCGAGGAAACUUUCCUGUUUAACUAGACCUUCUUGCCA
Molecule: long non-coding RNA, 993 nt
Filed under: Sus scrofa (pig)
Lineage: Eukaryota; Metazoa; Chordata; Mammalia; Artiodactyla; Suidae
Description: lncRNA (ENSSSCG00065075302.1)
Source: RNAcentral